GAGUUUGAUCAUGGCUCAGAAUAAACGCUGGCGACGUGCCUAACACAUGCAAGUCGAGCGAGGAUAGCCUUUCGGGGUGACUCCUAGCGGCGGACGGGUGAGUAAAGCGUGGGAAUCUGCCCUUUAGUAAAGAAUACUCCCGAGAAAUCGGGCUUAAUGCUGUAUAGUUCCCUAACGGGAUAAAGAUGGCCUCUUGCUAUCGCUAAAGGAUGAGCUUACGUGCUAUCAGCUAGUUGGUGGGGUAAAGGCCUACCAAGGCAAUGACGGCUAGCCGGCCUGAGAGGGUGUACGGCCACACUGGAACUUAGACACGGUCCAGACUCCUACGGGAGGCAGCAGUGGGGAAUAUUGCGCAAUGGGCGAAAGCCUGACGCAGCGACGUCGCGUGAAGGAUGACGGUUUUCGGAUUAUAAACUUCUGUUAAGUGGGAAGAAAUACUUAGCUAGUAAUACGAGCAAGGGAUGACGGUACCAUUAGAGAAAGC
Molecule: ribosomal RNA, 484 nt
Filed under: uncultured delta proteobacterium
Lineage: Bacteria; Deltaproteobacteria
Description: bacterial SSU rRNA
Rfam family: Bacterial small subunit ribosomal RNA
Source: RNAcentral